Molecule: ribosomal RNA, 1000 nt
Filed under: Lactiplantibacillus plantarum
Lineage: Bacteria; Bacillati; Bacillota; Bacilli; Lactobacillales; Lactobacillaceae
Description: bacterial SSU rRNA
Rfam family: Bacterial small subunit ribosomal RNA
Source: RNAcentral
AUGGACGAAAGUCUGAUGGAGCAACGCCGCGUGAGUGAAGAAGGGUUUCGGCUCGUAAAACUCUGUUGUUAAAGAAGAACAUAUCUGAGAGUAACUGUUCAGGUAUUGACGGUAUUUAACCAGAAAGCCACGGCUAACUACGUGCCAGCAGCCGCGGUAAUACGUAGGUGGCAAGCGUUGUCCGGAUUUAUUGGGCGUAAAGCGAGCGCAGGCGGUUUUUUAAGUCUGAUGUGAAAGCCUUCGGCUCAACCGAAGAAGUGCAUCGGAAACUGGGAAACUUGAGUGCAGAAGAGGACAGUGGAACUCCAUGUGUAGCGGUGAAAUGCGUAGAUAUAUGGAAGAACACCAGUGGCGAAGGCGGCUGUCUGGUCUGUAACUGACGCUGAGGCUCGAAAGUAUGGGUAGCAAACAGGAUUAGAUACCCUGGUAGUCCAUACCGUAAACGAUGAAUGCUAAGUGUUGGAGGGUUUCCGCCCUUCAGUGCUGCAGCUAACGCAUUAAGCAUUCCGCCUGGGGAGUACGGCCGCAAGGCUGAAACUCAAAGGAAUUGACGGGGGCCCGCACAAGCGGUGGAGCAUGUGGUUUAAUUCGAAGCUACGCGAAGAACCUUACCAGGUCUUGACAUACUAUGCAAAUCUAAGAGAUUAGACGUUCCCUUCGGGGACAUGGAUACAGGUGGUGCAUGGUUGUCGUCAGCUCGUGUCGUGAGAUGUUGGGUUAAGUCCCGCAACGAGCGCAACCCUUAUUAUCAGUUGCCAGCAUUAAGUUGGGCACUCUGGUGAGACUGCCGGUGACAAACCGGAGGAAGGUGGGGAUGACGUCAAAUCAUCAUGCCCCUUAUGACCUGGGCUACACACGUGCUACAAUGGAUGGUACAACGAGUUGCGAACUCGCGAGAGUAAGCUAAUCUCUUAAAGCCAUUCUCAGUUCGGAUUGUAGGCUGCAACUCGCCUACAUGAAGUCGGAAUCGCUAGUAAUCGCGGAUCAGCAUGCCGCGGUG